UUAAGUUCAGCGGGUAUUCCUACCUGAUCCGAGGUCAACCUUGAUAAGUUUGGUUGUUUCACGGCCGGAACCCGCCGCCACGCCCAGAGAGAAGAGUAUUACUGCACUCGGGGUGACAACGAGCCCGCCACUGCAUUCCGGGGGCUGCGGACGGCCGCAGGGCCCCAACACAAGCCGUGGGGCUUGAUGGUUGAAAUGAC
RNAcentral lists this unclassified non-coding RNA (200 nucleotides) under Sordariomycetes sp. RNAcentral's name for it is "partial internal transcribed spacer 2". Lineage: Eukaryota; Fungi; Ascomycota; Sordariomycetes. The record is from RNAcentral.